AUACAUAUAAAAAUCAAGUUUUGACUUUAGGUACCCAUAUUUUCUUGGAUCCUUUUUGGUUAGUCACAAUGGUUCUUUUUGAAACUCAUAUUUUCUUCACAUUAGAAUUUUCAGAUUUGCUAGAGAAACAUGUAUAGGAUUUGUGUCCUACUUUACCAUAUUUAAAGCAAGUAAUAUUUGAAAACUUGUUGCUUGAUGAGUCCACAAAGAUAUUUUUCAAAAAUUUUUGUUUCUUUAAAGGGUUGUAGCCA
RNAcentral lists this long non-coding RNA (251 nucleotides) under Elaeis guineensis (African oil palm). RNAcentral describes it as "long non-coding RNA (EGUI_LNC059539)". The record is from RNAcentral. Lineage: Eukaryota; Viridiplantae; Streptophyta; Magnoliopsida; Arecales; Arecaceae.